Molecule: ribosomal RNA, 494 nt
Filed under: uncultured bacterium
Lineage: Bacteria
Description: partial 16S ribosomal RNA
Rfam family: Bacterial small subunit ribosomal RNA
Source: RNAcentral
GACGAACGCUGGCGGCGUGCUUAACACAUGCAAGUCGAACGGUGAAGCGCCUUCCUUUUUGGUGGGUGUGGAUGAGUGGCGAACGGGUGAGUAACACGUGAGUAACCUGCCCCCUUCUUCUGGAUAACCGCAUGAAAGUGUGGCUAAUACGGGAUAUUCUGGGUCUGUCGCAUGAUGGGUCUGGGAAAGAUAUUGUUUCGGUGGGGGAUGGGCUCGCGGCCUAUCAGCUUGUUGGUGGGGUGAUGGCCUACCAAGGCGGUGACGGGUAGCCGGCCUGAGAGGGUGGACGGUCACACUGGGACUGAGACACGGCCCAGACUCCUACGGGAGGCAGCAGUGGGGAAUAUUGCACAAUGGGCGCAAGCCUGAUGCAGCGACUCCGCGUGAGGGAUGGAGGCCUUCGGGUUGUGAACCUCUUUCGCCAGUGAAGCAGGCCUGCCUCGUUUGUGGGUGGGUUGACGGUAGCUGGAUAAGAAGCGCCGGCUAACUACGUG